AGGCUUUAUGUAAAUUUUACUAGUAAGGGAAACAAGUUUAAUUACACUCCAUCUCUGGGGAGGAGGACGAGCAACCCCCAAGUGCAGUUGAGUUGACCCGGACAACACUUGAUUCGCUGUCUUGGGUUGUUGAUGUUGUUUCGCUUUAAAAAGUUAUAAAAAUAAGUCGACGGAGAGUGGCAGCAGCAACCCUCGGAGUUCAUUCUGCACCCUUUGAUUUUGGCCAGGAUCGGGAAUCGGGGAUCGGGGCAGGACCAGCAUCAUCCCCUGUUUUCCCGCCCGUUCUCUCGUUCGUUGCCAGGGGCUAAUGAGCGCCGCACAUUAGUUUUAACAACAUUUAUUAUUUAUGGGUUUUUCCCUCCUCCUGUCCCGCUCACCCUCAAUGCAUCCGCAUGCCGCCUCUCUCUCUCACUCUUUCACAGAAUUCUUACUUUUGGACGUUACAUUUUCACUUGCCUGCAUAGUGACGCAGUUUCCAAAAUGAACUCUUGGAAAUGGGAAUUUGAAAUUACUACGAACGCGGCAAGUUUAAUUGGAAUUUCGAAUCCGGAGCGGCUCGUUAACAACUUGAGUCAGGAUCUGGGGGUACUC
Non-coding RNA from Drosophila melanogaster (fruit fly), 591 nucleotides. NCBI's taxonomy places the organism in Eukaryota, Metazoa, Arthropoda, Insecta, Diptera, Drosophilidae. The record is from Ensembl.